This 228-nucleotide ribosomal RNA is filed under the name uncultured bacterium. RNAcentral's name for it is "partial 16S ribosomal RNA". It matches the Rfam family "Bacterial small subunit ribosomal RNA", at positions 568 to 795 of the family's 1533-position model. The record is from RNAcentral.
UGCGUAGGCGGAAUAUUAAGUCAGUGGUGAAAUCCUGCGGCUCAACCGUAGAACUGCCAUUGAUACUGAUAUUCUUGAAUGUAGUUGAGGUAGGCGGAAUGUGUAAUGUAGCGGUGAAAUGCUUAGAUAUUACACAGAACACCGAUUGCGAAGGCAGCUUACUAAACUAUGAUUGACGCUGAUGCACGAAAGCGUGGGGAGCGAACAGGAUUAGAUACCCUGGUAGUC